This is a small nucleolar RNA of Callithrix jacchus (white-tufted-ear marmoset), 67 nucleotides long. Its record names the gene SNORD42. It matches the Rfam family "Small nucleolar RNA SNORD42". From Rfam's summary of the family: snoRNA U42 is found in intron 3 of the ribosomal protein L23a (RPL23a) gene in humans and is also present in mice. U42 is a member of the C/D class of snoRNA which contain C (UGAUGA) and D (CUGA) box motifs. The record is from Ensembl. Lineage: Eukaryota; Metazoa; Chordata; Mammalia; Primates; Cebidae.
GUGCAUAUGAUGGAAAAAUUUUAAUUUCCUGACACUUGUGAUGUCUGCAAAGGAACCGCUGAUGCAC